AUGCUCACCAUAGAUGCGUUUGAGAAGGCUUGGAAGUUCCUUGUAGAGAAAUACAAACUAAAGAACAAUGCAUACAUGACACAAUUGUAUGAGAUACGGCACAAGUGGACGAAGUCUUACUUCACAGGUGUGUUUUGUGCUAAGAUGACCAGUACGCAGUGGAGUGAGAGCGCUGACCAUAUGCUGAAAAAAUUUGUGUCUCCUGGCUGUCCCAUGCAUGUGUUUGUGAGGAAGUACAUGAGACUGCUGUUUGAUAGAGAGUCUGAGGAAAAUUAUAAGGAAAACCGAACAAAAAUUACAAGAUACUUACUAGAAAAAAGGAAAAGUUUUUUUUCUAAAUAA
This 342-nucleotide ribosomal RNA is filed under the name Triticum aestivum (bread wheat). RNAcentral describes it as "partial small subunit ribosomal RNA". Lineage: Eukaryota; Viridiplantae; Streptophyta; Magnoliopsida; Poales; Poaceae. The record is from RNAcentral.